UACAGGGGGGUGCAAACGUUGCUCGGAAUCAUUGGGCGUAAAGCGCACGUAGGCGGUUCGUUAAGUCGGAUGUGAAAGCCCUCGGCUCAACUGAGGAAGUGCACCCGAAACUGGCGAGCUUGAGUACGAAAAGAGGAUCGCGGAAUUCCCGGUGUAGAGGUGAAAUUCGUAGAUAUCGGGAGGAACACCGGUGGCGAAGGCGGCGAUCUGGGUCGAUACUGACGCUGAGGUGCGAAAGCGUGGGGAGCAAACAGG
This 255-nucleotide ribosomal RNA is filed under the name uncultured bacterium. Its description in RNAcentral is "partial 16S ribosomal RNA". It matches the Rfam family "Bacterial small subunit ribosomal RNA", at positions 524 to 776 of the family's 1533-position model. The record is from RNAcentral.